This 656-nucleotide ribosomal RNA is filed under the name uncultured Brachybacterium sp. RNAcentral describes it as "bacterial SSU rRNA". It matches the Rfam family "Bacterial small subunit ribosomal RNA", at positions 583 to 1232 of the family's 1533-position model. The record is from RNAcentral. Lineage: Bacteria; Bacillati; Actinomycetota; Actinomycetes; Micrococcales; Dermabacteraceae.
UCGCGUCUGCCGUGAAAACCCGAGGCUCAACCUCGGGCGUGCGGUGGGUACGGGCAGGCUAGAGUGUGGUAGGGGAGACUGGAACUCCUGGUGUAGCGGUGAAAUGCGCAGAUAUCAGGAAGAACACCGAUGGCGAAGGCAGGUCUCUGGGCCAUUACUGACACUGAGAAGCGAAAGCAUGGGUAGCGAACAGGAUUAGAUACCCUGGUAGUCCAUGCCGUAAACGUUGGGCACUAGGUGUGGGGGACAUUCCACGUUUUCCGCGCCGUAGCUAACGCAUUAAGUGCCCCGCCUGGGGAGUACGGCCGCAAGGCUAAAACUCAAAGGAAUUGACGGGGGCCCGCACAAGCGGCGGAGCAUGCUGAUUAAUUCGAUGCAACGCGAAGAACCUUACCAAGGCUUGACAUGCACUGGGACGGCUGCAGAGAUGUGGCUUUCUUUGGACUGGUGCACAGGUGGGUGCAUGGUUUGUCGUCAGCUCGUGUCGUGAGAUGUUGGGUUAAGUCCCGCAACGAGCGCAACCCUCGUUCUAUGUUGCCAGCACGUAAUGGUGGGGACUCAUAGGAGACUGGCCGGGGUCAACUCGGAGGGAGGGGGGGACGACGUCAAUCAUCAUGCCCUUAUGUCUUGGGGCUUCCAAGGCAAUGCUAACAAUG